This 1372-nucleotide ribosomal RNA is filed under the name uncultured bacterium. RNAcentral describes it as "bacterial SSU rRNA". It matches the Rfam family "Bacterial small subunit ribosomal RNA", at positions 28 to 1381 of the family's 1533-position model. The record is from RNAcentral.
GAUGAACGCUGGCGGCGUGCCUAAUACACGCAAGUCGAGCGAACGGACGAGAAGCUUGCUUCUCUGAUGUUAGCGGCGGACGGGUGAGUAACACGUGGAUAACCUACCUAUAAGACUGGGAUAACUUCGGGAAACCGGAGCUAAUACCGGAUAAUAUUUUGAACCGCAUGGUUCAAAAGUGAAAGACGGUCUUGCUGUCACUUAUAGAUGGAUCCGCGCUGCAUUAGCUAGUUGGUAAGGUAACGGCUUACCAAGGCAACGAUGCAUAGCCGACCUGAGAGGGUGAUCGGCCACACUGGAACUGAGACACGGUCCAGACUCCUACGGGAGGCAGCAGUAGGGAAUCUUCCGCAAUGGGCGAAAGCCUGACGGAGCAACGCCGCGUGAGUGAUGAAGGUCUUCGGAUCGUAAAACUCUGUUAUUAGGGAAGAACAUAUGUGUAAGUAACUGUGCACAUCUUGACGGUACCUAAUCAGAAAGCCACGGCUAACUACGUGCCAGCAGCCGCGGUAAUACGUAGGUGGCAAGCGUUAUCCGGAAUUAUUGGGCGUAAAGCGCGCGUAGGCGGUUUUUUAAGUCUGAUGUGAAAGCCCACGGCUCAACCGUGGAGGGUCAUUGGAAACUGGAAAACUUGAGUGCAGAAGAGGAAAGUGGAAUUCCAUGUGUAGCGGUGAAAUGCGCAGAGAUAUGGAGGAACACCAGUGGCGAAGGCGACUUUCUGGUCUGUAACUGACGCUGAUGUGCGAAAGCGUGGGGAUCAAACAGGAUUAGAUACCCUGGUAGUCCACGCCGUAAACGAUGAGUGCUAAGUGUUAGGGGGUUUCCGCCCCUUAGUGCUGCAGCUAACGCAUUAAGCACUCCGCCUGGGGAGUACGACCGCAAGGUUGAAACUCAAAGGAAUUGACGGGGACCCGCACAAGCGGUGGAGCAUGUGGUUUAAUUCGAAGCAACGCGAAGAACCUUACCAAAUCUUGACAUCCUUUGACAACUCUAGAGAUAGAGCUUUCCCCUUCGGGGGACAAAGUGACAGGUGGUGCAUGGUUAUCGUCAGCUCGUGUCGUGAGAUGUUGGGUUAAGUCCCGCAACGAGCGCAACCCUUAAGCUUAGUUGCCAUCAUUAAGUUGGGCACUCUAAGUUGACUGCCGGUGACAAACCGGAGGAAGGUGGGGAUGACGUCAAAUCAUCAUGCCCCUUAUGAUUUGGGCUACACACGUGCUACAAUGGACAAUACAAAGGGCAGCGAAACCGUGAGGUCAAGCAAAUCCCAUAAAGUUGUUCUCAGUUCGGAUUGUAGUCUGCAACUCGACUACAUGAAGCUGGAAUCGCUAGUAAUCGUAGAUCAGCAUGCUACGGUGAAUACGUUCCCGGGUCU